GUCGCCGACUCGCCGUUCAGUUGAUGUGAAUUAGCCAUGGUCACCACUGAAGCAAGUUAUUUUCACUACAGCAUUUCUUAGAAGGUAGGCAGUACACAGGUUUGCUAUACGUGAGUGCACUGGCUGCUGGAUGUGGCAUGUUUUAACUUUUAACUUCAGCAGUCUUCGAGGGAAGAAGUUUCUAAUUAUUUUGAAGACCAACCCAUACAUCUCUUCAAGGUUGUUGCUGGGCCUGCAUGACAACUCGUCGAGUAGCAGAGGCCAAGGCGAGGGGAGGACAUAGCUUCAUUCUGGAAGUUUGCCCCACUAACAAGCCCGGAGGGCAAGAUUCAGGAAUCCUGCCAACCCUGCCAACGCUGUUCAGCCCGCCGACCCUGUCGACCCUGCAAACCCUGAAGAUGAUGAAUAACGACACUGCA
RNAcentral lists this long non-coding RNA (419 nucleotides) under Patiria miniata (bat star). Its description in RNAcentral is "uncharacterized LOC119734771, transcript variant X1". Lineage: Eukaryota; Metazoa; Echinodermata; Asteroidea; Valvatida; Asterinidae. The record is from RNAcentral.